Molecule: long non-coding RNA, 1758 nt
Organism: Diorhabda sublineata
Lineage: Eukaryota; Metazoa; Arthropoda; Insecta; Coleoptera; Chrysomelidae
Exons: 2
Source: RefSeq, a predicted model, not a curated record
AUAAACAUUCUGUAGAUGUGUGUCGGUUUGAAAGGAGUAAGAAGAAGAGUUAUAUUGUAUAAUGUGAUUAUGUUUUCGAUUUAUAACUAGAAAUAAAAAAGAAGAAAUGAAAUUUUAGUUAUAACCUCGUAUACUUUGUUUAUUUUUUAAUAUUUUUGGGAUCAACAUAAAAAAAACUACAUAAAAUAAAAAGAGGAGAAGUCAAAGAGGAAAAUAAUCGACAAAACGAGAGGAACGGAUAAGAUAAAUAUCCAGAAAUGAUUAGGUUACCUGGGAGAAGAAGGGAAGAUGUGGAUAUGGAAGAUGAUGAAGGUUAGAAAUAAUACUACAAGAAUGAGAGGAGAAUUUGAUUGUUAUAAUCCACUAGAAAGGGGAAUAAACAAGUUGCGUAAACUACAGACCAAUAUGCAUAACAAAAUAUACAUUAACAUAAUAGAAGGAAGACUAAGAGAAGUAGACAAGAAACUGGAAGAAGAACAAGCCUUAAGUUAAUGUUAAGCACUAAGUCACCUCCAAACUUCUAUUUUUUAGGAAUUUUUAUUAUUUGAAAUGUCUAUUUUGUCGGAUUUGAAAGAUGACUCCUAAUUUACAUUGGAAGAAGUGAAAAAAUCCAUUUAAAAUUAUUAAUUUAUUUCUGUGGGGUCCACAAGAACUUCUAGGUAAUUAUUUCUAAUGGUAAAUUCAAAGUUUCUACCAAAAUUUAGCUCUUCGAAAAGUUUUAGUAAGCAAAAAGUCCAUUUUGAACGGACUAAGAAAGUGAUUGCCAGUUUAUAUAGGAAAAACUAAAAACUUUUUGCUAAAACCCAAUCAAAAUCAUUAAUUUAUAUCAAUGGGGUUCACAAGAACUUCUAGGUAAUUACUUCUAAUGGUAAAUUCAAAGUUGCUACCAAAAUUUAGCUAUUUGAAAAGUUUUAGUAAACAAAAAGUCCAUUUUGACCAGACUAAGAAAGUGAUUGCUAGUUUAUAUAGGAAGAACUAAAGACUUUUUGCUAAAAUCCAAUCAAAAUCAUUAAUUUAUAACAAAGGGGUCCACAAGAACUUCUAGGCAAUUAUUUCUAAUGGUAAACUCAAAGUUUCUACCAAAAUUUAGCUCCUCGGGAAUUUUUUUAAUCAAAAUUCCUAUUUUGCCCAAACAAAGAAGAUUGCCAGUUUACUGAGAAGAACUAAAAAAAUUUUGUAAAAACUCAAAAUCAUUGAUUAAUUUCAAUUGGAUCGACAGGGACUUCUGGAACUUAUUUCUAAUUGUAAACUCAAAGUCUCAACCAAAAUUUAGUUCCCUAGGAAUUUUUGUUAAUCAAAAUGCUCAUUUUGACAGGACAAAGAAGAUGAUUGCCAAUUUAUAUAUGAGGAACUAAAGACUUUUUGCUAAAAUCGCAUCAAAAUCAUCAAAUAACAUCAACGGGGUCCACAAGGACUUCUGGGAACUCAUUUCAAACAAUAAACCCAAAAUUUAGCUCAUUGCAAAUUGUUGCUACUUAAAAUACCUAUUUUGACCGUACUAUGAAGAUAAUUGUGUGUAAAUUGAAGUAUUUGACCUCUGUGUAUAGUUAUUCAAGCGUCUGAUGAUAAUGUGAUUUUGUUGGGUAGUGUAACAUUGUUUUUGCUGCAUUUUGAACGUGUCCAUAUUAUUGUUCUUAGUUUUUAUAUUUGUAUAAUGUAUUGGUGAGACUCGUGUUAGUAGAAUGUAAAUACUAGUGAUAAAUCAACAAAAAAAAACUUAAAUAAAAACGUUUUGAUAAAAAAAAAUUAUCAGUUACC